RNAcentral lists this ribosomal RNA (562 nucleotides) under uncultured Bifidobacterium sp. RNAcentral's name for it is "bacterial SSU rRNA". It matches the Rfam family "Bacterial small subunit ribosomal RNA", at positions 147 to 710 of the family's 1533-position model. The record is from RNAcentral. Lineage: Bacteria; Bacillati; Actinomycetota; Actinomycetes; Bifidobacteriales; Bifidobacteriaceae.
CUCCUGGAAACGGGUGGUAAUGCCGGAUGUUCCACAUGAGCGCAUGCGAGUGUGGGAAAGGCUUUUUGCGGCAUGGGAUGGGGUCGCGUCCUAUCAGCUUGUUGGUGGGGUAACGGCCUACCAAGGCGUUGACGGGUAGCCGGCCUGAGAGGGCGACCGGCCACAUUGGGACUGAGAUACGGCCCAGACUCCUACGGGAGGCAGCAGUGGGGAAUAUUGCACAAUGGGCGCAAGCCUGAUGCAGCGACGCCGCGUGCGGGAUGGAGGCCUUCGGGUUGUAAACCGCUUUUGUUCAAGGGCAAGGCACGGUUUCGGCCGUGUUGAGUGGAUUGUUCGAAUAAGCACCGGCUAACUACGUGCCAGCAGCCGCGGUAAUACGUAGGGUGCAAGCGUUAUCCGGAUUUAUUGGGCGUAAAGGGCUCGUAGGCGGUUCGUCGCGUCCGGUGUGAAAGUCCACCGCUUAACGGUGGAUCCGCGCCGGGUACGGGCGGGCUUGAGUGCGGUAGGGGAGACUGGAAUUCCCGGUGUAACGGUGGAAUGUGUAGAUAUCGGGAAGAACACC